UACAGAGGGGGCAAGCGUUGUUCGGAAUUACUGGGCGUAAAGGGCGCGUAGGCGGCCCGCUAAGUCGAACGUGAAAUCCCCGAGCUCAACUCGGGAACUGCGUCCGAUACUGGCGGGCUUGAAUCCGGGAGAGGGAUGCGGAAUUCCAGGUGUAGCGGUGAAAUGCGUAGAUAUCGAGAGGAACACCAGUGGCGAAGGCGAGUCCCUGGACAACACCUGACACUGAGGCACGAAAGCUAGGGGAGCAAACAGG
RNAcentral lists this ribosomal RNA (253 nucleotides) under uncultured bacterium. RNAcentral's name for it is "partial 16S ribosomal RNA". It matches the Rfam family "Bacterial small subunit ribosomal RNA", at positions 524 to 776 of the family's 1533-position model. The record is from RNAcentral.